UGCCGCGUGAGUGAUGAAGGCCUUCGGGUUGUAAAGCUCUUUUGCCCGGGAUGAUAAUGACUGUACCGGGAGAAUAAGCCCCGGCUAACUCCGUGCCAGCAGCCGCGGUAAUACUGAGGGGGCUAGCGUUGUUCGGAAUUACUGGGCGUAAAGCGCACGUAAGCGGUUACUCAAGUCACAGGUGAAAGCCCGGAGCUCAACCCCAGAACUGCCUUUGAGACUCGGUCACUAGAAUCUUGUAGAGGCGAGUGGAAUUCCGAGUGUAGAGGUGAAAUUCGUAUAUAUUCGGAAGAACACCAUUGGCGAAGGCGACUCGCUGGACCAGUAUUGACGCUGAGGUGCGAAAGCGUGGGGAGCAAACAGGAUUAAAUACCCUGGUAGUCCACGCCAUAAACGAUGAUGACUAGCUGUCCGGGCACAUGGUGUUUGGGUGGGGCAGCUCAUCCAUUAAUUUAUCCCCCUGGGGAGUACGGUCGCAAAAUUAAAACUCAAAGGAAUUGACGGGGGCCUGCUCAAGCGGUGUAGCAUGUGGUUUAAUUCGAAGCAACGCGCAUAACCUUACCAGCGUUUGACAUCCUACGCUACCCAGACAGAUUUGUGGUUCCCUUCCGGGACAUAUAGA
This 622-nucleotide ribosomal RNA is filed under the name Sphingomonadales bacterium Se1Ps_2018. Its description in RNAcentral is "bacterial SSU rRNA". It matches the Rfam family "Bacterial small subunit ribosomal RNA", at positions 395 to 1034 of the family's 1533-position model. The record is from RNAcentral. Lineage: Bacteria; Pseudomonadati; Pseudomonadota; Alphaproteobacteria; Sphingomonadales.